AUUGAACGCCGGCGGCAUGCUUUACACAUGCAAGUCGAACGGUAACAGGCCGCAAGGUGCUGACGAGUGGCGAACGGGUGCGUAAUGCAUCGGAACGUGCCCAGUCGUGGGGGAUAACUACUCGAAAGAGUAGCUAAUACCGCAUACGAUCUAUGGAUGAAAGCGGGGGACCGUAAGGCCUCGCGCGAUUGGAGCGGCCGAUGUCAGAUUAGGUAGUUGGUGGGGUAAAGGCUCACCAAGCCAACGAUCUGUAGCUGGUCUGAGAGGACAACCAGCCACACUGGGACUGAGACACGGCCCAGACUCCUACGGGAGGCAGCAGUGGGGAAUUUUGGACAAUGGGCGCAAGCCUGAUCCAGCAAUGCCGCGUGCAGGAAGAAGGCCUUCGGGUUGUAAACUGCUUUUGUACGGAACGAAACGGCUCUGGUUAAUACCCGGGGCUAAUGACGGUACCGUAAGAAUAAGCACCGGCUAACUACGUG
RNAcentral lists this ribosomal RNA (482 nucleotides) under uncultured bacterium. RNAcentral's name for it is "partial 16S ribosomal RNA". It matches the Rfam family "Bacterial small subunit ribosomal RNA", at positions 30 to 507 of the family's 1533-position model. The record is from RNAcentral.